UACGGAGGGUGCAAGCGUUAUCCGGAUUCACUGGGUUUAAAGGGUGUGUAGGCGGGUAUUUAAGUCAGUGGUGAAAUCUCCGAGCUCAACUCGGAAACUGCCAUUGAUACUAUUUAUCUUGAAUAUUGUUGAGGUAGGCGGAAUAUGUAUGUAGCGGUGAAAUGCUUAGAUAUGACAUAGAACACCGAUUGCGAAGGCAGCUUGCUAAACAAUUAUUGACGCUGAGGCACGAAAAGCGUGGGGGAUCAAAACAGGAUUAGAUACCCGGGGUA
RNAcentral lists this ribosomal RNA (272 nucleotides) under uncultured bacterium. RNAcentral describes it as "partial 16S ribosomal RNA". It matches the Rfam family "Bacterial small subunit ribosomal RNA", at positions 524 to 793 of the family's 1533-position model. The record is from RNAcentral.